Long non-coding RNA from Chelonia mydas (Green sea turtle), 248 nucleotides. RefSeq lists it as uncharacterized. NCBI's taxonomy places the organism in Eukaryota, Metazoa, Chordata, Testudines, Cheloniidae. The transcript is spliced from 3 exons. The record is from RefSeq and is a predicted model, not a curated record.
GGCAGCCGGAAAGGGAAGGUGCAGGCCCCACGCGACGGCGGCGGAUGGCUCUCGCUGAGCCGGGGGGCUGCUGCUGCUACACUCCUGAGUCAGCCAAAGCCCCGCGCGCCGACGCCGUGUCCUAAAAGUUACAGUGCCGCCCAGAGAGCACUGAAGGGAAACCAUAAGCUCACCAUGAAUACCACACAGCUAGACUGGAUUCCAACGUGAAGAAGCAGAGAUGCUGCCAUCAUCAAUACCAUGAACAG